Molecule: long non-coding RNA, 972 nt
Organism: Actinia tenebrosa (Australian red waratah sea anemone)
Lineage: Eukaryota; Metazoa; Cnidaria; Anthozoa; Actiniaria; Actiniidae
Source: RefSeq, a predicted model, not a curated record
CCGUCAUCCAUCAGGUCCAUGAAGUCUGAGUGUCGUCUCCCACGCAUUGGCGCUGGCGUGCACGUAACUGAUUAUAGGUCCACGGAAUAUCUCACUCUCUGGGGAUGUAUAAAUAGAGGUACGGAUAAAGACCACAUGCAGUGAAGUUGUAUCAAGAUCUUUAAAUCUCAAACAAGAAAGAAGAAAAGAGACCUGAAAAAAGUUUGUUGUUGUGUGUUUUUAGCUGCGACUGAGAAAAACAAGCCAUGGAGAGAGUUUUAUUGCUGUUCUUUGCCGUUUGUCUUACAUGUGCUGUUGCAAACCCUAUACAUUGUGCCAAAAGGUGCAAAGCAAACUGGGAUGCCUGCAUGAGCCAAUGCCAAAUUGGAAAUUGCUAUGACUGCAGUCUUGAGUUUGUGAAAUGUCGAAACCGUUGUGGAGUUAAGAGAAACAACGUGAAAAGAUUGUUCAAAACUUUAAAACAAUCAAGUAACUGAGAAUAUAAACGAGCUGGGAUUCAAGCAGAACUAAAGACUUUAAUACUUAUGAAAACAAGAAAGAUUCAAAGCGUGUUUUUCUGUCGAUAAGAAGAGAUGCAAGACCAAGGAUACGAUAAUGUUUGUAUUUAAAAAAACGCAUCGUUUGCUGCCGAAAAAGUGAGACAGAACCUUUAACUGACAGUUAGGUUAUUGUUUUCAUUUUCAAAUACAUUCGAAUUAUUUAGCCUAACUAGUUAGCAACAGUUUUUUUGAGUUAUUGAUGGCUACAAUUCCCUAGCUAAACAAACAAAAAAUAACUUUUGUUAAUUUGCACUGAUUUGCAUCAUGAAAGACAGGCUUUUURAUAGUUCAUUCCUGUGUGCACAUUUAAGUUCAUUACUGAUCUAUUUAUUAUUGUAAAAUAGGCGAUAACUGUACUCUAUAUUUUUGAUAAACAAAUUGUAUAUCAUCAUAUAGUUGAAACGUAAUGAAAUAAAGAAUACUGCUGAAAUAA